UACGGAGGAUGCAAGCGUUAUCCGGAAUGAUUGGGCGUAAAGGGUCCGCAGGUGGCAAUGUAAGUCUGCUGUCAAAGAAUGAGGCUUAACCUCAUCAAGGCAGUGGAAACUACAUAGCUAGAGUACGGUCGGGGUAGAAGGAAUUCCUGGUGUAGCGGUGAAAUGCGUAGAGAUCGGGAAGAACAUCGGUGGCGAAAGCGCUCUACUGGACCGCAACUGACACUCAGGGACGAAAGCUAGGGGAGCGAAUGGG
RNAcentral lists this ribosomal RNA (253 nucleotides) under uncultured bacterium. Its description in RNAcentral is "partial 16S ribosomal RNA". It matches the Rfam family "Bacterial small subunit ribosomal RNA", at positions 524 to 776 of the family's 1533-position model. The record is from RNAcentral.